CUUCCAGAGGCCGGCGCACGGGUGCGUAACGCGUAUGCAAUCUGCCUUUCACAAAGGGAUAGCCCAGAGAAAUUUGGAUUAAUACCUUAUAGUAUAUUGAUGUGGCAUCACAUUAUUAUUAAAGAUUUAUCGGUGAAAGAUGAGCAUGCGUCCCAUUAGCUAGUUGGUAAGGUAACGGCUUACCAAGGCAACGAUGGGUAGGGGUCCUGAGAGGGAGAUCCCCCACACUGGUACUGAGACACGGACCAGACUCCUACGGGAGGCAGCAGUGAGGAAUAUUGGACAAUGGGCGCAAGCCUGAUCCAGCCAUGCCGCGUGCAGGAUGACGGUCCUAUGGAUUGUAAACUGCUUUUAUACGGGAAGAAACCCUGGAACGUGUUCCAGACUGACGGUACCGUAAGAAUAAGGAUCGGCUAACUCCGUGCCAGCAGCCGCGGUAAUACGGAGGAUCCAAGCGUUAUCCGGAAUCAUUGGGUUUAAAGGGUCCGUAGGCGGCCUUAUAAGUCAGUGGUGAAAUCUCCCGGCUCAACCGGGAAAUUGCCAUUGAUACUGUAGGGCUUGAAUUAUUGGGAAGUAACUAGAAUAUGUAGUGUAGCGGUGAAAUGCUUAGAUAUUACAUGGAAUACCAAUUGCGAAGGCAGGUUACUACCAAUGGAUUGACGCUG
Molecule: ribosomal RNA, 665 nt
Filed under: uncultured Bacteroidota bacterium
Lineage: Bacteria; Pseudomonadati; Bacteroidota
Description: bacterial SSU rRNA
Rfam family: Bacterial small subunit ribosomal RNA
Source: RNAcentral